RNAcentral lists this transfer RNA (73 nucleotides) under Trichonephila inaurata madagascariensis. It matches the Rfam family "tRNA". Rfam says of the family: Transfer RNA (tRNA) molecules are approximately 80 nucleotides in length. Their secondary structure includes four short double-helical elements and three loops (D, anti-codon, and T loops). Lineage: Eukaryota; Metazoa; Arthropoda; Arachnida; Araneae; Nephilidae. The record is from Rfam by way of RNAcentral.
GUCCCUGUAGCACAAUGGAUAGCGCGUUGGACUUCUAAUCCAAAGGUCAUGGGUUCGAAUCCUAUCUGGGAUG